GGGGGUGUGGCGGAAUUGGUAGACGCAACAGACUUAAAAUCUGUCGAUUUUUUAAAUCGUAAGGGUUCAAGUCCCUUCAUCCCCA
RNAcentral lists this transfer RNA (85 nucleotides) under Medakamo hakoo. Its description in RNAcentral is "trnL-UAA". It matches the Rfam family "tRNA". From Rfam's summary of the family: Transfer RNA (tRNA) molecules are approximately 80 nucleotides in length. Lineage: Eukaryota; Viridiplantae; Chlorophyta; Trebouxiophyceae; Coccomyxaceae. The record is from RNAcentral.